UGCAGUCGACGGCAGCACGGGGGCAACCCUGGUGGCGAGUGGCGAACGGGUGAGUAAUACAUCGGAACGUGUCCUGUAGUGGGGGAUAGCCCGGCGAAAGCCGGAUUAAUACCGCAUACGCUCUACGGAGGAAAGGGGGGGAUCUUAGGACCUCCCGCUACAGGGGCGGCCGAUGGCAGAUUAGCUAGUUGGUGGGGUAAAGGCCUACCAAGGCGACGAUCUGUAGCUGGUCUGAGAGGACGACCAGCCACACUGGGACUGAGACACGGCCCANACUCCUACGGGAGGCANCAGUGGGGAAUUUUGGACAAUGGGGGCAACCCUGAUCCAGCAAUGCCGCGUGUGUGAAGAAGGCCUUCGGGUUGUAAAGCACUUUUGUCCGGAAAGAAAACGCCGUGGUUAAUACCCGUGGCGGAUGACGGUACCGGAAGAAUAAGCACCGGCUAACUACGUGCCAGCAGCCGCGGUAAUACGUAGGGUGCAAGCGUUAAUCGGAAUUACUGGGCGUAAAGCGUGCGCAGGCGGUCCGCUAAGACAGAUGUGAAAUCCCCGGGCUUAACCUGGGAACUGCAUUUGUGACUGGCGGGCUAGAGUAUGGCANAGGGGGGUAGAAUUCCACGUGUAGCANUGAAAUGCGUAGAGAUGUGGAGGAAUACCGAUGGCNAANGCAGCCCCCUGGGCCAAUACUGACGCUCAUGCACGAAAGCGUGGGGAGCAAACAGGAUUAGAUACCCUGGUAGUCCACGCCCUAAACGAUGUCAACUAGUUGUCGGGUCUUCAUUGNCUUGGUAACGUANCUAACGCGUGAAGUUGACCGCCUGGGGAGUACGGUCGCCAGAUUAAAACUCAAAGGAAUUGACGGGGACCCGCACAAGCGGNGGAUGAUGUGNAUUA
RNAcentral lists this ribosomal RNA (894 nucleotides) under Burkholderia sp. SP44A. RNAcentral describes it as "bacterial SSU rRNA". It matches the Rfam family "Bacterial small subunit ribosomal RNA", at positions 56 to 948 of the family's 1533-position model. The record is from RNAcentral. Lineage: Bacteria; Pseudomonadati; Pseudomonadota; Betaproteobacteria; Burkholderiales; Burkholderiaceae.